Molecule: non-coding RNA, 73 nt
Organism: Treponema porcinum
Lineage: Bacteria; Pseudomonadati; Spirochaetota; Spirochaetia; Treponematales; Treponemataceae
Source: Rfam
GCCGCUGUAGCUCAGUUGGUAGAGCAGCAGACUGAAAAUCUGCGUGUCGUUGGUUCGAUUCCAACCGGUGGCA